Long non-coding RNA from Daucus carota subsp. sativus, 1547 nucleotides. RefSeq lists it as uncharacterized. NCBI's taxonomy places the organism in Eukaryota, Viridiplantae, Streptophyta, Magnoliopsida, Apiales, Apiaceae. The transcript has 4 exons. The record is from RefSeq and is a predicted model, not a curated record.
AUUUCAAACACACAUACAUUUCAAACAAACACCUACACCUCUCAGACAAACACUCUGGCCGCUCUCACCACUCACCUUAGUCGCGACCUCCAUUUCCUGAACUCACCAUCCAGUCCCGACCUCACAAACACUCUCACCUCUCUCACCUCACAAUCGCGACCUCCAUUUCAACAUCUCACCUCACAGUCUUGACCUCACAUGUCAAAUUAGGGUUUUGGUGUUCUCGAUUUGGAGAUUUUUGCUCAGUUCUCAACAUCACAUCUCCAUCACAACAUCUCAGUUCUCGAUUUGGGGAGUUGGGCAUCUACAAUUAAGUUUUUAGUGUUCUCGAUUUAGGGAUUUUGGUUUUCAACAUCACUUUUCGGUUGGGGUUUUGGUUCUGAGUUCAAUCCGUUCUUCAGGCUGGGGUUUGAGAGAGGGAUUGCUGAUGUGUGUUAAAAACUCUAAGCGUGGAUUUCAUUUUGCUGCUAAUAUCUCCAAUCUGUGCACAACUGCUUAGGACUGUGUUUCUUGCUUUCACAUCCUCAUCUAUGUUGUUUGUUUGUUCUUUUUUGAUGUGGUCGAUUUUGGAUAAGUUGGAGGAAGUCAGCGACUGAUUCUUGUAAAAUGGAGCCAGUAUAGUGUACUUAAGUCACUAGUUUUAGUAUGGGGAGUGGCUUGAAAAGUGGUCUUGUGUAAAGUUUCUGAAACAUCUGCCACACUCAGCAACGUUGGUGCUGUUGUACCUCCAGGAGGAGAUUUUUCUGACCCUGUUACAUCGGCCACACUCUGCAUCCUUCAGUAUCCUGGCAAAGCUUGACAAGGCAGAAAGGGUACUUUGCUUCAGAAGUGGAAUGGCUUCUUUGGCUACUUCUUUGAUACCAUGAAGGAAAUCGGUGCAUCCUCAAAGUCAUCUGUCUUUUUUGUCCCACAUGGACCUGGUGUAAUGAAAGACAUAGCCUCACAAAUCAGGGACGGUCUUUUCCAAGGCAAUGCUGCUCAGUAGUGAUAUAGUAUCUACAAUGAGCAUACGACAUUGAGAAGUGAUUUAUGUAGAUUUGAGACUAGGUUAUUUUGUUGUUUACUUGCUUCAUUAGGAAUGGAUUUAUGAAUGUACAAGGCAGAUAUUGUCAAAAUUUUAUGGAAAGUGUUGCAUUUUACUUUUGUCAAUGUUGCAAAUAUAAAUAACCUAGUGUUGCAUAUUGAAAUAUAUGGUGUUGCAAAAGAUAUGUGGGACCCACUAAUUAUUUUAUAAAAAUUUGGAUCAUGUGGGACCCAUCCAUGAAGUGGAAAGUGACUCAUCAAUGACGUGGCAAGUGGACCCAGCUGAUGUGGCAAGUGGGACCCAGCUGACGUGGCAGAUGAAGUGGGACCCACCUCUGCAAUGUGUCCACCUUUAGGGGCAACACCAGUAGAUGUUGCCUUUACAAAACAGUGGUGUUGCAUUAUAGGUAUAAGGCAAUACAUUUUCGGUGUUGCAUUACAUAGCAAUAAGCGUUGCCUUAUAGGUCAAAGGCAAGGCUCGCAUAUGCAACGCUCAGAAAGUGUUGCAUAUCUCGAUUUCGGGC